UACGUAGGGUGCAAGCGUUAAUCGGAAUUACUGGGCGUAAAGCGUGCGCAGGCGGUUUUGUAAGACUGUCGUGAAAGCCCCGGGCUCAACCUGGGAAUUGCGAUGAAGACUGCAAGGCUUGAAUCUGGCAGAGGGGGGUAGAAUUCCACGUGUAGCAGUGAAAUGCGUAGAGAUGUGGAGGAACACCGAUGGCGAAGGCAGCCCCCUGGGUCAAGAUUGACGCUCAUGCACGAAAGCGUGGGGAGCAAACAGG
This 253-nucleotide ribosomal RNA is filed under the name uncultured bacterium. RNAcentral describes it as "partial 16S ribosomal RNA". It matches the Rfam family "Bacterial small subunit ribosomal RNA", at positions 524 to 776 of the family's 1533-position model. The record is from RNAcentral.